GAAGCUCCUACGGGAGGCAGCAGUGGGGAAUAUUGGCACAAUGGGGGAAACCCUGAUGCAGCGACGCCGCGUGGAGGAAGAAGGUCUUCGGAUUGUAAACUCCUGUUGUUGGGGAAGAUAAUGACGGUACCCAACAAGGAAGUGACGGCUAACUACGUGC
This 160-nucleotide ribosomal RNA is filed under the name uncultured bacterium. Its description in RNAcentral is "partial 16S ribosomal RNA". It matches the Rfam family "Bacterial small subunit ribosomal RNA", at positions 332 to 508 of the family's 1533-position model. The record is from RNAcentral.